UUGCACGCUGGCGGCAUGCUUUACACAUGCCAGUCGAACGGUAACAGGCCGCAAGGUGCUGACGAGUGGCGAACGGGUGAGUAAUGCAUCGGAACGUGCCCAGUCGUGGGGGAUAACUACUCGAAAGAGUAGCUAAUACCGCAUACGAUCUAUGGAUGAAAGCGGGGGACCGUAAGGCCUCGCGCGAUUGGAGCGGCCGAUGUCAGAUUAGGUAGUUGGUGGGGUAAAGGCUCACCAAGCCAACGAUCUGUAGCUGGUCUGAGAGGACGACCAGCCACACUGGGACUGAGACACGGCCCAGACUCCUACGGGAGGCAGCAGUGGGGAAUUUUGGACAAUGGGCGCAAGCCUGAUCCAGCAAUGCCGCGUGCAGGAAGAAGGCCCUCGGGUUGUAAACUGCUUUUGUACGGAACGAAACGGCUCUGGUUAAUACCCGGGGCUAAUGACGGUACCGUAAGAAUAAGCACCGGCUAACUACGUG
Molecule: ribosomal RNA, 481 nt
Filed under: uncultured bacterium
Lineage: Bacteria
Description: partial 16S ribosomal RNA
Rfam family: Bacterial small subunit ribosomal RNA
Source: RNAcentral